AUUUGAAAUUCAUUAUUAGUCUGAGUUCAGGAUACCUUGUUGAAUUAUGAUCAGAAAAUUGAUAUUCCUACUAGUGAUAACAGUGUGUUCCAAUGCUCAAAGAACCAGGGACACAGAAGAUCUUACAAGCAUCACAAAUCCAGACAACGCUGAAGAACUAGAAAACUUUGAAGAUCAAGGAAGUGUAGAUGAUCAAGAUUAUUAAGAAAAUCAAAUAAGAAAAAAUAAUAGAAAGGGGGGAGAUUCAAACAGAAGAGAGCAAGGUGGAAAGGUAAACUGUAAAAAAGUUGGAUGAGCUUGCUGUGGAGAAAAUGGAACUUAUGGAAGAAAAUGCAGGAAGGGUGGUUGGUGUGUGCGUGGGAAUGGUAAAACAGGCAAAUGUAUUGGAGCUAAGAGAAGAAGAAGAAGAACAACAACAACAACAACAACAACAACCACUACAACUACAACAACUACCCCAUCAUGUAACCAGUUAUGUACUGCAUUUGUUCAAAGCGGCUUUCAGGGUCCAAGACCACCUCAGGAA
Eurytemora carolleeae is the source of this 526-nucleotide long non-coding RNA. RefSeq lists it as uncharacterized. NCBI's taxonomy places the organism in Eukaryota, Metazoa, Arthropoda, Copepoda, Calanoida, Temoridae. The record is from RefSeq and is a predicted model, not a curated record. The transcript has 7 exons.